AAGGAUCAUUAAAGAAUACAGGCUUCGCGGCCGCUAUAUUCUCACCCUUUGUUAACUACACUUUGUUGCCUUGGCGCCUAGCGCCAGUGGACCAAAACUCUUGAAUCAUUGCUGUCUGAGUACUAUAUAAUAGUUAAAACUUUCAACAACGGAUCUCUUGGUUCUGGCAUCGAUGAAGAACGCAGCGAAAUGCGAUAAGUAAUGUGAAUUGCAGAAUUCAGUGAAUCAUCGAAUCUUUGAACGCACAUUGCGCCCCCUGGCAUUCCGGGGGGCAUGCCUGUUCGAGCGUCAUUACAACCCUCAAGCUCUGCUUGGUAUUGGGCUCGCCCCGUAGGGCCUGCCUCAAAAUCAGUGGCGGCCACUGUCCGACCCUUCAGCGCAGUACUACUCGCCGCUCGUAGGAGGAUGGGAAGCCGUUAUACAACCCCCACCAUACAAGGUUGACCUCGGAUCAGGUAGGGAUACCCGCUGAACUUAA
This 478-nucleotide ribosomal RNA is filed under the name Lophodermium conigenum. Its description in RNAcentral is "eukaryotic LSU rRNA". The stretch from base 138 to 291 matches the Rfam family "5.8S ribosomal RNA". The record is from RNAcentral. Lineage: Eukaryota; Fungi; Ascomycota; Leotiomycetes; Rhytismatales; Rhytismataceae.